Molecule: ribosomal RNA, 478 nt
Filed under: Corynebacterium sp. 'ARUP UnID 246'
Lineage: Bacteria; Bacillati; Actinomycetota; Actinomycetes; Mycobacteriales; Corynebacteriaceae
Description: bacterial SSU rRNA
Rfam family: Bacterial small subunit ribosomal RNA
Source: RNAcentral
GGACGAACGCUGGCGGCGUGCUUAACACAUGCAAGUCGAACGGAAAGGCCCGCCACCUUGGUGGUGGGUACUCGAGUGGCGAACGGGUGAGUAACACGUGGGUGAUCUGCCCCGCACUGUGGGAUAAGCCUGGGAAACUGGGUCUAAUACCACAUACGACCAUGGCGUAGGGGUCAUGGUGGAAAGCUUUAUUGCGGUGUGGGAUGAGCCCGCGGCCUAUCAGCUUGUUGGUGGGGUAAUGGCCUACCAAGGCGGCGACGGGUAGCCGGCCUGAGAGGGUGGACGGCCACAUUGGGACUGAGACACGGCCCAGACUCCUACGGGAGGCAGCAGUGGGGAAUAUUGCACAAUGGGCGCAAGCCUGAUGCAGCGACGCCGCGUGGGGGAUGACGGCCUUCGGGUUGUAAACUCCUUUCGCCCGGGACGAAGCCCACCUGGUGGGUGACGGUACCGUGGAGAAGAAGCACCGGCUAACUAC